GCAUGGACGAAUUCUGUAUUACUUAUUCAAUGGUAUUUACAGUCAGACACCAUGCAAAAUUAAUAUUCACUUUUUUUUUUUAAUUGCAGGUAAGCUUGCAUGCUUCUUGCUUGGUAAAAGUGAAAACAAGA
Polypterus senegalus (gray bichir) is the source of this 131-nucleotide small nucleolar RNA. RefSeq annotates it as small nucleolar RNA SNORA15. NCBI's taxonomy places the organism in Eukaryota, Metazoa, Chordata, Cladistia, Polypteriformes, Polypteridae. The record is from RefSeq and is a predicted model, not a curated record. The transcript has a single exon.